RNAcentral lists this ribosomal RNA (404 nucleotides) under Campylobacter coli. Its description in RNAcentral is "bacterial SSU rRNA". It matches the Rfam family "Bacterial small subunit ribosomal RNA", at positions 1 to 402 of the family's 1533-position model. The record is from RNAcentral. RNAcentral also lists the same sequence under 1 other name. Lineage: Bacteria; Pseudomonadati; Campylobacterota; Epsilonproteobacteria; Campylobacterales; Campylobacteraceae.
UUUUAUGGAGAGUUUGAUCCUGGCUCAGAGUGAACGCUGGCGGCGUGCCUAAUACAUGCAAGUCGAACGAUGAAGCUUCUAGCUUGCUAGAAGUGGAUUAGUGGCGCACGGGUGAGUAAGGUAUAGUUAAUCUGCCCUACACAAGAGGACAACAGUUGGAAACGACUGCUAAUACUCUAUACUCCUGCUUAACACAAGUUGAGUAGGGAAAGUUUUUCGGUGUAGGAUGAGACUAUAUAGUAUCAGCUAGUUGGUAAGGUAAUGGCUUACCAAGGCUAUGACGCUUAACUGGUCUGAGAGGAUGAUCAGUCACACUGGAACUGAGACACGGUCCAGACUCCUACGGGAGGCAGCAGUAGGGAAUAUUGCGCAAUGGGGGAAACCCUGACGCAGCAACGCCGCGU